Molecule: long non-coding RNA, 1377 nt
Filed under: Homo sapiens (human)
Lineage: Eukaryota; Metazoa; Chordata; Mammalia; Primates; Hominidae
Description: non-protein coding lnc-ZFYVE1-1:4
Source: RNAcentral
GCUUUUCCUCCUCCACCAGCUGAGGCACCCGGUCUCCCGGUUUCCACACGCGUUCAGAGACACAAACUCACCCGCCGCUGAGGAAACGGUACUGCCUUCGCGACCUUCUGGGAUCCAGGUUACGAGUGCGCUCCACUGGUUCGAGAUUUCUGCCCGUCGCUCGCCAGGGAGACUGAGUGCCCAAGCGCCUACUCGCACAGGCCGCAAAUACAGCCGCGCUGCGCGGCGAGCUGAUGGAGGUCUUCCUCUUGCCCGGCGUGCACUGCGGCCGGGGGCGGGGAGCGCGGAACCAUAGAGAAGAACGUAUAUAGAUCGUCUCCGCUGUUGGCUCUGACUCACCAAGCCGAGACGAAUAACCAUAGAGAAGCAGCGUCUAGCGGUUACUAGAAAGGCCCGAACUGUAAAUUAUGACCCACCAUGUUUGAUUGGAGCCGACUGAAUCUUACGACUACGGGACGCCAUCUUGAGGAAGGCAUAAAACGGAUUCAGUAUAAAGUUAUUGCCUCCCUGAGUUCCUGGUGCUGUGUUAAGUGCUGGAAGUAUGAAGGCAAAUGGAAGUGAGAUUUGUUCCUGUCCUGCAAGAACUGUGAGCCAGGUGAAAUAGAUGACAAACCAUGACCAGCCUAAUAUAAAAUUGAAACAUACUACACACUUCCUGCCUGCCUCCCCUACUUAAUUUUACUCUAAAGCACUCAUAACCAUCUAUCAUAACAUACAUUUUUCUUGCUGAUUUUAUGGUCCGUCACUACCCCCACUAGAAUGUGAAUGUAAGCAAUGCAUGGAUUGCCUGUUUUGUGCAAGAACAGGUCCUGGUACAUAGCAAGCGCUCAAUAAAUAUUUGUUGAGUGACAGAAAUGAUUACCGGCCGGGCGCGGUGGCUCACGCCUGUAACCCCAGCACUUUGGGAGGCCGAGGCGGGUGGAUCACCUGAGGUUAGGAGUUCGAGGCCACCCUGGCCAACAUGGCAAAACCCCGUCUCUACUGAAAAUACAAAAAUAAACUAGGCGUGGUGGCAGGCGCCUGUAAUCCCAGCUACUCGGGAGGCUGAGGCAGGAGAAUCGCUUGAACCCUGGAGGCGGAGGUUGCAGUGAGCCGAGAUGGCACCACUGCACUCCAGCCUGGGCAACAAAGUGAGACAUUGUCUCAAAAAAAAAGAAAAGAAAAGAAAAGAAAUGAUUAACAUAUGAUGAGUACCAAUAGAACACAAAAUUUAGUGGGAGCACAAAUGAGAAAGUAGCACUAAUUACUACCAUCUGCAAAAUUUACAUCCUUCUAUACUUCUGCUUGCUAGGUUUCCUUACCAUUAACUAAAGUUAAUAAUACCUUUGGCCGUGCGUGAUGACGAGUGCUUGUAGUCCCAGUUACUUGGGAGACGAA